RNAcentral lists this long non-coding RNA (498 nucleotides) under Helianthus annuus (common sunflower). The record is from RNAcentral. Lineage: Eukaryota; Viridiplantae; Streptophyta; Magnoliopsida; Asterales; Asteraceae.
UUUCCUUCACUUCCAAGAAUAUUCCGUUAAACAAAAGGGGUCGGUGUUUCCCAAAAUCUCUGUGCUCAUUAGCCCUAAUUUCCGAUCAACACCUCCCCCACCGUCGCACCACCCCUUCCACCGUCGCACGACCGUCGCACCGUCGAUUGUGGACUUCGGAAAUCAACUUGUUUCCGGUGGAACAAUGGCGCUAUGUUCCUCUAUUCAAUCAAAUCAAACGACUUUAUAUCACUUCCUUCACCUCUUCUCUCUCUCUGCUCCUAUUAUACCGUUUCCAUUUGAAACAAUGAAGAUCACAACUUUUGUUGGGUAACGUCAAACGCGACCGAAGGAGGUGUUACAACAAAAAGAAAAUUAGAAAUCCAUAAAAUGAGGGACCCCAAUUUGAUCACUAAGCUGAACAAGGGUAUUUGUUAUUACUGUAUUCUUACAAAAUAGGGUUUCCUUAUAGGAGUGGCAAAUUUGUAUAUUUUUCUGUUGUAUAGAAUAUAGAUAGUC